GCCGGGAUGGCGGAACUGGUAGACGCACUGGAUUCAAAAUCCAGCGCUAGCAAUAGCGUGCGAGUUCGAUUCUCGCUCUCGGCACCA
Molecule: transfer RNA, 87 nt
Filed under: Nitrosomonadales bacterium
Lineage: Bacteria; Pseudomonadati; Pseudomonadota; Betaproteobacteria; Nitrosomonadales
Also listed under: 1 other name
Description: tRNA-Leu
Rfam family: tRNA
About the family: Transfer RNA (tRNA) molecules are approximately 80 nucleotides in length. Their secondary structure includes four short double-helical elements and three loops (D, anti-codon, and T loops).
Source: RNAcentral